CAAUCUUCGGAUUGAGUGGCGGANGGGUGAGUAACGCGUGAGGAUCUGGCCCUAGGAGGGGGACAACCACUGGAAACGGUGGCUAAUACCCCAUAUGUCUACGGAUGAAAAGGUUUUUCCGCCUGGGGAUGAACUCGCGUCUGAUUAGCUAGUUGGUGGAGUAACGGUUCACCAAGGCGACGAUCAGUAGCUGGUCUGAGAGGAUGAUCAGCCACACUGGGACUGAGACACGGCCCAGACUCCUACGGGAGGCAGCAGUGGGGAAUUUUCCGCAAUGGGCGAAAGCCUGACGGAGCAAUACCGCGUGAGGGAUGAAGGCUCGUGGGUCGUAAACCUCUUUUCCCAAGGAAGAAGUUCUGACGGUACUUGGGGAAUAAGCAUCGGCUAAUUCCGUGCCAGCAGCCGCGGUAAUACGGGAGAUGCAAGCGUUAUCCGGAAUUAUUGGGCGUAAAGCGUCCGUAGGCGGUUUAUCAAGUCUGCUGUCAAAGACUGCAGCUCAACUGUGGGCCGGCAGUGGAAACUGAUGAACUGGAGUACGGUAGGGGUAGAGGGAAUUCCCAGUGUAGCGGUGAAAUGCGUAGAUAUUGGGAAGAACACCAGUGGCGAAGGCGCUCUACUGGGCCGUAACUGACGCUGAGGGACGAAAGCUAGGGGAGCGAAAGGGAUUAGAUACCCUGGUAGUCCCCU
This 687-nucleotide ribosomal RNA is filed under the name uncultured bacterium. RNAcentral describes it as "bacterial SSU rRNA". It matches the Rfam family "Bacterial small subunit ribosomal RNA", at positions 80 to 800 of the family's 1533-position model. The record is from RNAcentral.